CGAUAUCUCGAUAUUGUGUGAAACUCUCCAAAAAACAAACAAACAAUGGAAGACUAUCAGGUUCACUUCUACCUAGUUCACUUCCUGUUUGCUGCGUGUGCCUGUCAUGAGUGUGGCAAUAAACAUGUGUUCUGGACACUACUGGUUUCCUACUGGUCAUUUCCAGUAGCCCCAGAUCUGGUCCAGGCUUGUGGAUCCAGGAUCUGGCACUGAAUCUGGUGGUGUCAAGUCCACGCCCGAGCAGAUCUGCAAGUACAAGACCAGCAUCGGAGUUGAGUCCGGUGAUGGCUGGUCCAAGAGCGACACUAGCUGGAGUGUCGUUUGAGGUGCUGGCUUGGGCACCGAUGGCUGCAGGUCUGGCUGGCAGUCUGUAGAUAGAGGUGAGGCAGGCUGGAGCGCUGGCGACAUCUCGACUUGCUCUGUUGGUCGCACGGCAGUCUGUAGAUAGAGGUGAAGCAGGCUGGAGCGCUGGCGACAUCUCGACUUGCUCUGUUGGUCGCACGGCAGUCUGUAGAUAGAGGUGAAGCAGGCUGGAGCGCUGGCGACAUCUCGACUUGCUCUGUUGGUCGCACGGCAGUCUGUAGAUAGAGGUGAAGCAGGCUGGAGCGCUGACGACAUCUCGACUUGCUCUGUUGGUCGCACGGCAGUCUGUAGAUAGAGGUGAAGCAGGCUGGAGCGCUGACGACAUCUCGACUUGCUCUGUUGGUCGCACGGCAGUCUGUAGAUAGAGGUGAAGCAGGCUGGAGCGCUGGCGACAUCUCGACUUGCUCUGUUGGUCGCACGGCAGUCUGUAACACUGGCUACAGUUUAUCUGGCUCAGCAGCUGCUCGUGGUAAAAUUGUCCAUAUCAUUUAU
Long non-coding RNA from Oncorhynchus keta (chum salmon), 855 nucleotides. RefSeq lists it as uncharacterized. The transcript is spliced from 3 exons. NCBI's taxonomy places the organism in Eukaryota, Metazoa, Chordata, Actinopteri, Salmoniformes, Salmonidae. The record is from RefSeq and is a predicted model, not a curated record.